AGAGUUUGAUCCUGGCUCAGAACGAACGCUGGCGGCAUGCCUAACACAUGCAAGUCGAACGAAGCCUUCGGGCUUAGUGGCGCACGGGUGCGUAACGCGUGGGAAUCUGCCCUUAGGUACGGAAUAACUCAGGGAAACUUGAGCUAAUACCGUAUAAUGACUCCGGUCCAAAGAUUUAUCGCCUGAGGAUGAGCCCGCGCCGGAUUAGCUAGUUGGUGAGGUAAAGGCCCACCAAGGCGACGAUCCGUAGCUGGUCUGAGAGGAUGAUCAGCCACACUGGGACUGAGACACGGCCCAGACUCCUACGGGAGGCAGCAGUGGGGAAUUUUGGACAAUGGGGGCAACCCUGAUCCAGCCAUUCCGCGUGAGUGAAGAAGGCCUUCGGGUUGUAAAGCUCUUUCGGCCGGGAAGAAAUCGCUCAAGUUAAUACCUUGGGUGGAUGACGGUACCGGAAGAAGAAGCACCGGCUAACUACGUGCCAGCAGCCGCGGUAAUACGUAGGGUGCGAGCGUUAAUCGGAAUUACUGGGCGUAAAGCGUGCGCAGGCGGUUUCGUAAGACAGAUGUGAAAUCCCCGGGCUUAACCUGGGAACUGCGUUUGUGACUGCGAGACUUGAGUGCGGCAGGGGGGGGUGGAAUUCCACGUGUAGCAGUGAAAUGCGUAGAGAUGUGGAGGAACACCGAUGGCGAAGGCAGCCCCCUGGGUCGACACUGACGCUCAGGCACGAAAGCGUGGGGAUCAAACAGGAUUAGAUACCCUGGUAGUCCACGCUGUAAACGAUGAUCACUCGCUGUUUGCGAUAUACAGUAAGCGGCUAAGCGAAAGCGAUAAGUGAUCCACCUGGGGAGUACGAUCGCAAGGUUGAAACUCAAAGGAAUUGACGGGGGCCCGCACAAGCGGAGGAACAUGUGGUUUAAUUCGAUGAUACGCGAGGAACCUUACCUGGGCUUAAAUGGGGAGUGACAGCUGGCGAAAGUUGGUUUUCUUCGGACACUCUUCAAGGUGCUGCAUGGUUGUCGUCAGCUCGUGCCGUGAGGUGUCGGGUUAAGUCCCAUAACGAGCGCAACCCUUACUGUUAGUUGCCAGCGGGUAGAGCCGGGAACUCUAACGGGACUGCCACCGUAAGGUGAGAGGAAGGUGGGGAUGACGUCAAAUCAGCACGGCCCUUAUGUCCAGGGCUACACACGUGUUACAAUGGCCGGUACAAAGGGCAGCUACACCGCGAGGUGAUGCUAAUCUCGAAAGCCGGUCUCAGUUCGGAUCGAAGUCUGCAACCCGACUUCGUGAAGUUGGAUUCGCUAGUAAUCGCGCAUCAGCCAUGGCGCGGUGAAUACGUUCCCGGGCCUUGUACACACCGCCCGUCAAGCCAUGGGAGCCGGGGGUACCUGAAGUCUGCAACCGCAAGGAGCGGCCUAGGGUAAAACUGGUGACUGGGGCUAAGUCGUAACAAGGUAUCC
Molecule: ribosomal RNA, 1457 nt
Filed under: uncultured bacterium
Lineage: Bacteria
Description: bacterial SSU rRNA
Rfam family: Bacterial small subunit ribosomal RNA
Source: RNAcentral